This 44-nucleotide transfer RNA is filed under the name Lontra felina (marine otter). Its description in RNAcentral is "partial tRNA-Pro". The record is from RNAcentral. Lineage: Eukaryota; Metazoa; Chordata; Mammalia; Carnivora; Mustelidae.
AGGGAAUAGUUUAGUUAGAAUGUCAGCUUUGGGUGUUGGUGGUG